AGAAUUUUAAGCGCGGUACACACUACCUGAUUUGAUCAGGCCGACAGGAUAAUUUGGUCAGAUCAGACGUCAUAUCAGGUCGUGUGUAGACGUGUCGUCUGACUUUAAUCCUGUCGGGUCUUGUCAGACAGUGGCGUACCUGUGUAACAUUUUUGGGGGGGGGGCAUAAAUUAAUUUUCACAAUUUUUUAUGGUUAUAAAAUAAGUAAUGAUAACGUCCUCAUGUUGAUCACUUGAUAUCAAUGAUAAGUGAUAAUCACAUUAUAAAAUAGUGACUAUAUGUGACCAUAACUCCUAAUCCUAAUUUGAUCGAAUAUUGACAUUUUAUAUUACAUUGAUAGUGAUAUCAAACACGAUUAUAAUCAGUGAAAAUAUUAAUUAUUUACAUUAUUUAAGCUGGACAAUGAAUUUGCAUUAUGGCAUCAAAAAACUUCUUGGGGGGGCAAAUGCCCCUGUUGCCCCCCCACAGGUACGCCACUGUUGUCAGGUGGCCAUACCAUCUGAUCGCCCGACCGACCGACCAAAUCAUAUAGUAUGUAGCACUGUCGGGCGGAUUUUAGUUGGUUUAUUGAGGUUAACGUGAUAACACGUGUGUGUACCUAGUACCUACUUCCAGUUUAAUAACGGUGUUAAGACUGACUAAAUCGUGUGGUGGUCGUACUGUGUGUACGCAACAUCUGAUUUGGUCAGGUAUCCUGUCGGCCCGAACAAAUCAGAAAACAUUCUACACUUCAAUAAUUUGAGUAGUGAAAAUUAAAUACCAGGCACCAGAUACCUUUUCAAUUAUUUUGACCUGUUAUGCAAAAAACUAUGCAUCACAACACAAUUAAAUACUUCGCCGAUACACAUUAUGAAUUGAAAAAAUAAGAUUGUACGAGGAUAUUGGCGAACGAGGUCUCGACACAUCUUAGUAACUAGGUUUCCUAAAGCCUUUCUUUUUUUUUUUUAAUUAUUUUUUUUUUUUAAGGUCAGUGUAGAAAAUAACAAUUUUUCUCCGGCCGCGUUUGUGAAUAAAUCGGCGGCGUGACUGCAAGGUUGUGUCGUAAGCGUGUACAAUUUAUUAUAAUUAAGGCGCGGAUUUUUAUGUAAUAAAAAAAUCAAAAUAUGUAAAUAUUUAUGUUCUUAU
Sipha flava (yellow sugarcane aphid) is the source of this 1125-nucleotide long non-coding RNA. RefSeq lists it as uncharacterized. The record is from RefSeq and is a predicted model, not a curated record. The transcript is spliced from 3 exons. NCBI's taxonomy places the organism in Eukaryota, Metazoa, Arthropoda, Insecta, Hemiptera, Aphididae.